ACCUAGUAGUACGGAAUAGCCAUUAGAAAUGGUGGGUAAUACUGUAUAAUCCCCGAGGGGGAAAGAUUUAUCGCUAUUAGAUGAGCCUACGUUAGAUUAGCUAGUUGGCGAGGUAUGGCUUACCAAGGCUAUGAUCUAUAGCUGGUCUGAGAGGACGAUCAGCCACACUGGAACUGAGAUACGGUCCAGACUCCUACGGGAGGCAGCAGUGGGGAAUAUUGGACAAUGGGCGAAAGCCUGAUCCAGCUAUGCCGCGUGAGCGAAGAAGGCCUUCGGGUUGUAAAACUCUUUCAAUAGGGAAGA
RNAcentral lists this ribosomal RNA (303 nucleotides) under Ehrlichia canis. Its description in RNAcentral is "bacterial SSU rRNA". It matches the Rfam family "Bacterial small subunit ribosomal RNA", at positions 128 to 448 of the family's 1533-position model. Lineage: Bacteria; Pseudomonadati; Pseudomonadota; Alphaproteobacteria; Rickettsiales; Anaplasmataceae. The record is from RNAcentral.